GGCGACUCCACCCGCGUCCAUCCUGUCACCUGGCGGCGUCAAGCUCUAGGUCAGGAGGGGGUCUUGGCCCACCGCCGCCUGCUUGUGUGUUUUCAAGACUUGCGAGCUGUGCACGCUCGCAGGUGGUGAGAUUUGCGGCGCUGGGACCCUGGUGAGGAGGUGACAGGUGGACCCAGUUUUGAGACUGCGCCCAGUUGCGGUGUCAGUUUUGGUGGAUGUAGCCUCCUGGGCUGCAGCUUUUUCUCACCUGUGGCUUUCAGGUCCGGGAGUUUCAGGAUCCCUUUUCCACGAGCCAGUGACAUCUUUCUGCUAGUAGGGUUGAAAUGAGAUGGUGCGUAUGAACGUUGCUGUGGUUUGUGUGCCCCCCAGAUUUUACGGGUUGGUAACUCGGUUAGUGGUAUUGGAGUGAACUCUCCCAAGCAUGCUGUGAUGCCCUCUGCCAUAUUUGAAGCAGCAAGAAGGACCUCAACAUGCUGGCGCCUGACCCUUGGACUUCCCAGGCUCAAGAACUGUGAACUAAAUAAACCUCAGUUGUGGUGUCGGAAGUGGGGUCUGAGGUCACCCCCUGCCAUGUCAACCCUUGGAAGAAUGGAUAAACAGGUAUACGUACUCAUUAUGCAUGAGAGUUCUCUGGAAAUGAGUCUUGGAGUGACUCAUUUCUCCAAGAUUUUUCUCAAGAUUAAGUGUAGAAUGUACCAGGAAUGCAUCACACAGAUACAGAAAGGCUGACUAGAAUAGCCUGAGCUCUGCACUCUCCCCUAGAAGCUGGAUAUCCUUUAACAUUUCAUCUCAGUGACUCAUGUGACCCCAAGGUUUAUGACCUGGGGCAGGCUGCUUUUUGUGACUUCAUAUUUGUGGUGCAGUGCACAAUCAAGACUCCAUCUUUCUGAGCCUUGGCAGAGUGGCUCACAAUGAGAGCUAGGCUUCCGCUGUCCUUUUCUGCCUAUUUGUAGGUAAUAAAUGCACAUUGUGAAACUUGUUGCCUGAGGAUAUAUCACUGGAUUCAGACAAGCUGGCUGUCAGCACACCAAGAACCUUCUUCCACACUGAGCCCUUCAUAGUCACUGUUUUCCUGCUGUGCAUUUGGAGGUCACCACUGGCAGAUACCUGUGUCGAGUUCUAUGAAUUUGAGCAUUUUUGAACUGAAUAGUAUAUGGGAGUCUCAACAGAAACUCUCCUGGGUCCAGUAUGAGGCCGCUAGUAACUGGGCUGGGUCCAAUAGGAGGCCUCUAGUAGGUAACAUGGAGUCAGCCAGAUGCUGGUGGUUCGUGCCCAUCCUAGCUACUUGGGAAGUUGAGGUUGGGUGAGUUUCAUUUCCAGGCCAGCCUCAGACAAAUAGUUCAUGAGACACCCCCCCCCCAUCUCCAAAAUAACCAGAGCAAAAACAGACUGGCUGUGUGCCCAAGAAGUAGAGUGUCUGCUUUGCAAGUGUGAAGCCCUGAGUUCAAACAACAAUUCCACAAAAGAAAAAAAAAAAGAAGGAAUCAUGGAUUCAUCUGGAUUCAAGUUGUUCCUCUUCUCUGUGUGAAACUGUCCAAUUGAUGUGUAGAAUUACGGAUCUAGUGAAGCUGGGGAAAAACCUGAGUGAACCCUCCAGCAACCCCUUGCUUUUGUCACCAAUUGUGGAGUCUCCUAGCUAAGCAGUGGACUCUGUUAGCUUUGCUACAGAUAGAACCUCCGAUGUGUGGGCCAUGAUAGUAGUGGUUGCCUAUGUUGUUUCUUGGGAAGUUGGAGGUAGCUCAAACCAGUGGAAACCACCAACCCUUCACUUGGGCCUGCACAGGUAUCUGAUCUUUGAUAUCAGGAGACCAAACUCCACCCUCAGAGCUGCCAUUUUCUGAAUAAGUAUCCUACAAGGAGACACAAGUUCAAUUAGGCACUCGUGUGCCACCAUUCCUCACACUUAGACCCCUUCUUUAUACCAUAAAUUGCCCUGGACCCUGUCCUUGGGGGAUGCUCCACAUUCACACUAUUGGCUGCCUUGGGAGUAAAUUCUUCUCUGCAAAACAGCAUGGUCAGGAAGAGAUGGUCACAAGACCUAACUGGUCGGUCCUUUGAUCUUGAGACAAAUAGGAUGAGCUGGUCUUUAUCUAUCCAUGCUGAUUCCUGACAACUUUUGCGGGCAGCCAUCUAACUCAGCAAUCUAGUCAAAGCCCACACUGGAUGGGGAAGCUGCCUAUCUAGUUAAAAUAUGCCUCUCUGGCUGAAGGAUGGUUUCCAGCCAGUUAUUUUGCAGAGCUGUGAUAUUCAGUUGGUAGGUGUUAUUAACUGUGUUUUUCAGCUUACAAGAUUUUCAACUUAUGAUGGCUUUAUUGGGCUGUAACCUCAUCAAAGGUUGAGAAGCAUCUGUGUUCCUUAAAUUCUCAGAGGCACUAACCCAAAAUUCACAUUAUCUGGA
Castor canadensis (American beaver) is the source of this 2398-nucleotide non-coding RNA. The record is from RefSeq and is a predicted model, not a curated record. NCBI's taxonomy places the organism in Eukaryota, Metazoa, Chordata, Mammalia, Rodentia, Castoridae.